RNAcentral lists this transfer RNA (58 nucleotides) under Monodelphis domestica (gray short-tailed opossum). It matches the Rfam family "tRNA", at positions 8 to 63 of the family's 71-position model. From Rfam's summary of the family: Transfer RNA (tRNA) molecules are approximately 80 nucleotides in length. Lineage: Eukaryota; Metazoa; Chordata; Mammalia; Didelphimorphia; Didelphidae. The record is from Rfam by way of RNAcentral.
UGGCACAAUUGGUAGAACACUGGACUUGGAGUCCAGAAGACUUGGGUUCAAAUCCCAA